GAACGCUAGCGGCAGGCUUAACACAUGCAAGUCGAGGGGCAGCGGGGAGGAAGCUUGCUUUCUCCGCCGGCGACCGGCGCACGGGUGAGUAACACGUGUGCAACCUGCCCCUGUCAGGGGGACAACCCGCCGAAAGGCGGGCUAAACCCGCGUACAUGCCACCGGGGCAUCCCGGAGGCAGGAAAGGCUUCGGCCGGACAGGGAUGGGCAUGCGGCGCAUUAGGCAGUAGGCGGGGUAACGGCCCACCUAACCGACGAUGCGUAGGGGUUCUGAGAGGAAGGUCCCCCACACUGGUACUGAGACACGGACCAGACUCCUACGGGAGGCAGCAGUGAGGAAUAUAGGUCAAUGGUCGGGAGACUGAACCAGCCAAGCCGCGUGAGGGAGGAAGGUACAGAGUAUCGUAAACCUCUUUUGUCAGGGAACAAAGACUGGGACGCGUCCCCGGAUGAGUGUACCUGAAGAAAAAGCAUCGGCUAACUCCGUGCCAGCAGCCGCGGUAAUACGGAGGAUGCGAGCGUUAUCCGGAUUUAUUGGGUUUAAAGGGUGCGCAGGCGGUCUGUUAAGUCAGCGGUCAAAGCCCGGGGCUCAACCCCGGCCCGCCGUUGAAACUGGCAGUCUCGAGUUGGAGAGAAGUAUGCGGAAUGCGCGGUGUAGCGGUGAAAUGCAUAGAUAUCGCGCAGAACUCCGAUUGCGAAGGCAGCAUGCCGGCUCCACACUGACGCUGAGGCACGAAAGCGUGGGUAUCGAGCAGGAUUAGAUACCCUGGUAGUCCACGCAGUAAACGAUGAAUGCUGGCUGUCCGGGGGGACUGACCCCUGGGUGGCGAAGCGAAAGCGAUAAGCAUUCCACCUGGGGAGUACGCCGGCAACGGUGAAACUCAAAGGAAUUGACGGGGGCCCGCACAAGCGGAGGAACAUGUGGUUUAAUUCGAUGAUACGCGAGGAACCUUACCCGGGCUCAAACGGGGAGUGACUCAGGCAGAGACGCCUGUUUCCCACGGGACACUCCCCGAGGUGCUGCAUGGUUGUCGUCAGCUCGUGCCGUGAGGUGUCGGCUUAAGUGCCAUAACGAGCGCAACCCCCGCGUGCAGUUGCUAACAGAUAACGCUGAGGACUCUGCACGGACUGCCGGCGCAAGCCGCGAGGAAGGCGGGGAUGACGUCAAAUCAGCACGGCCCUUACGUCCGGGGCGACACACGUGUUACAAUGGGUGGUACAGCGGGAAGCCAGGCGGCGACGCCGAGCGGAACCCGAAAUCCACUCUCAGUUCGGAUCGGAGUCUGCAACCCGACUCCGUGAAGCUGGAUUCGCUAGUAAUCGCGCAUCAGCCAUGGCGCGGUGAAUACGUUCCCGGGCCUUGUACACACCGCCCGUCAAGCCAUGGGAGCCGAGGGCGCUUGAAGU
RNAcentral lists this ribosomal RNA (1407 nucleotides) under uncultured bacterium. Its description in RNAcentral is "16S ribosomal RNA". It matches the Rfam family "Bacterial small subunit ribosomal RNA". The record is from RNAcentral.